RNAcentral lists this non-coding RNA (30 nucleotides) under Rattus norvegicus (Norway rat). The record is from RNAcentral. Lineage: Eukaryota; Metazoa; Chordata; Mammalia; Rodentia; Muridae.
UGAAACGACACUUAGGUAGGACAAAAGGCU